UACGUAGGGGGCAAGCGUUGUCCGGAUUUAUUGGGCGUAAGGAGCGUGUAGGCGGUUUGGUAGGUCCGCUGUGAAAACUCGAGGCUCAACCUCGAGACGCCGGUGGAAACCAUCAGACUAGAGUCCGGAAGAGGAGAGUGGAAUUCCUGGUGUAGCGGUGAAAUGCGCAGAUAUCAGGAAGAACACCCGUGGCUAAGGCGGCUCUCUAGUACGGUACUGACGCUGAGACGCGAAAGCGUGGGGAGCGAACAGG
RNAcentral lists this ribosomal RNA (253 nucleotides) under uncultured bacterium. RNAcentral's name for it is "partial 16S ribosomal RNA". It matches the Rfam family "Bacterial small subunit ribosomal RNA", at positions 524 to 776 of the family's 1533-position model. The record is from RNAcentral.